This 429-nucleotide ribosomal RNA is filed under the name Chloroflexota bacterium. RNAcentral's name for it is "Chloroflexi bacterium partial 16S ribosomal RNA". It matches the Rfam family "Bacterial small subunit ribosomal RNA", at positions 355 to 776 of the family's 1533-position model. Lineage: Bacteria; Bacillati; Chloroflexota. The record is from RNAcentral.
UGGGGAAUAUUGCACAAUGGGCGCAAGCCUGAUGCAGCCAUGCCGCGUGUGUGAAGAAGGCCUUCGGGUUGUAAAGCACUUUCAGCGGGGAGGAAGGCGAUAAGGUUAAUAACCUUGUCGAUUGACGUUACCCGCAGAAGAAGCACCGGCUAACUCCGUGCCAGCAGCCGCGGUAAUACGGAGGGUGCAAGCGUUAAUCGGAAUUACUGGGCGUAAAGCGCACGCAGGCGGUCUGUCAAGUCGGAUGUGAAAUCCCCGGGCUCAACCUGGGAAAUGCAUUCGAAACUGGCAGGCUAGAGUCUUGUAGAGGGGGGUAGAAUUCCAGGUGUAGCGGUGAAAUGCGUAGAGAUCUGGAGGAAUACCGGUGGCGAAGGCGCCCCCCUGGACAAAGACUGACGCUCAGGUGCGAAAGCGUGGGGAGCAAACAGG